AGUCUCUUACCGGACAAAACACACAUUCAAUGCUAAAUCAAGUGCUAUAAACACAGAGCUUGCAAGGGAAAAUGGGAAUUGAAGGCCAAUGAAUAUGCAGAAAGUAAAACAAAAUUCAGACAAGAUUUGGUGCAUGAGACUGCCCCUGCUGUGUGUUUACAUUGUGUGUCAGAAAGCAGGAAGACAUCAGAUGCUGCUCUGAGAGAAGGGUGGCCACAGAUACUGGGAUGAAGAUGUGGUGGAUAAACACAAAGGCCAAGGGACAGGCAGUUAUUCUACAUGAAACAAUGAACUGAAUGAAAGUCAACCAAAAAAGGCACCUUUCAAUAGCUCCUCCCGGCUGACUAGGACCCAUAUACUCUGUCAUCCCUGAUAUGACCCACUGUGUCAAGUC
Nannospalax galili (Upper Galilee mountains blind mole rat) is the source of this 394-nucleotide long non-coding RNA. RefSeq lists it as uncharacterized. The record is from RefSeq and is a predicted model, not a curated record. The transcript is spliced from 4 exons. Lineage: Eukaryota; Metazoa; Chordata; Mammalia; Rodentia; Spalacidae.